This is a long non-coding RNA of Microplitis demolitor, 573 nucleotides long. RefSeq lists it as uncharacterized. The record is from RefSeq and is a predicted model, not a curated record. NCBI's taxonomy places the organism in Eukaryota, Metazoa, Arthropoda, Insecta, Hymenoptera, Braconidae. The transcript has 3 exons.
UCAAGUAUUGCUUGAAAUAGAUAAAUUUUGUUAUAGAGACACGUUUACAGUAAUUAUAUUUUUUAACACAUAUAGUAAAGAAAAAAAAAUAGAUCACGGAAAACUGAAUAACUGAAUAAUUAUUGAUCAUGUUGGUAAUUUAUAUUUUUCUUAGCUGUAUAAUUAGCGUAUCUUUUAACGCACAAGCUGAAAUAAUUAUAGAAAAGCGUUGUUUGGAAAAUGGAAAUCGUUGUUAUAAACAUCACGAUUGCUGCUCUAAUAAUUGUUUUCCAUUUAAUUUUGAUAACAAUACUUAUUAUCUCUGUACUUCAACUGGUAUCAUUAUGAAGAAAGACAAAAUAACUAUUUGUAUGCCUAAUGGACACAGUUGUCUCACAUACUCCGAUUGUUGUUCUCAACUAUGUAAAAACAUCGGCUUAACAACAAUGCGAUUGUGCGUUGGAGGUAACUAAGGUAAAAUGUCCAGAGGCCCAAAUGCAGUUCAACUUCCUUCAACAAAUUAUUUAUUAAUUGGAUUAUAAUUCAAUAAUUUAUAAUAAAAAAAUGCUUAUUGUAAUAAUUUAGAGUUAAUGA